CUACGGGAUGCUGCAGUGGGGAAUAUUGCACAAUGGGCGCAAGCCUGAUGCAGCCAUGCCGCGUGUAUGAAGAAGGCCUUCGGGUUGUAAAGUACUUUCAGCGGGGAGGAAGGGAGUAAAGUUAAUACCUUUGCUCAUUGACGUUACCCGCAGAAGAAGCACCGGCUAACUCCGUGCCAGCAGCCGCGGUAAUACGGAGGGUGCAAGCGUUAAUCGGAUUACUGGGCGUAAAGCGCACGCAGGCGGUUUGUUAAGUCAGAUGUGAAAUCCCCGGGCUCAACCUGGGAACUGCAUCUGAUACUGGCAAGCUGGAGUCUCGUAGAGGGGGGUAGAAUUCCAGGUGUAGUGGUGAAAUGCGUAGAGAUCUGGAGGAAUACCGGUGGCGAAGGCGGCCCCCUGGACGAAGCCUGACGCUCAGGUGCGAAAGCGUGGGGAGCAAACAGGAUUAGACACCCCAGUGUC
RNAcentral lists this ribosomal RNA (462 nucleotides) under uncultured bacterium. RNAcentral's name for it is "partial 16S ribosomal RNA". It matches the Rfam family "Bacterial small subunit ribosomal RNA", at positions 339 to 795 of the family's 1533-position model. The record is from RNAcentral.